AAUAUUGCGCAAUGGGGGAAACCCUGACGCAGCAACGCCGCGUGAAGGAUGAAGGUUUNCGGAUCNUNAACGUCUUUGAUUGGGGNCGAAUAAUGACGGUACCCAAAAAACAAGCAACGGCUAACUACGUCCCAGCAGCCGCGGUAAUACGUAGGUGGCGAGCGUUGUCCGGAAGUACAGGGUGUAAAGGGCAUGUAGGCGGGAGAGCAAGUCAAGUGUUAAAUACCGUGGCUUAACCCCGGGGCUGCAUCUGAAACUGGUUUGCUUGAGUGGCGGAGAGGAAAGUGGAAUUCCCAGUGUAGAGGUGAAAUGCGUAGAUAUUGGGAGGAACACCAGUGGCGAAGGCGACUUUCUGGACGAUAACUGACGCUGAGGCGCGAAAGCGUGGGGAGCAAACAGG
This 400-nucleotide ribosomal RNA is filed under the name uncultured bacterium. Its description in RNAcentral is "partial 16S ribosomal RNA". It matches the Rfam family "Bacterial small subunit ribosomal RNA", at positions 360 to 776 of the family's 1533-position model. The record is from RNAcentral.